GCCCCGCGGUGGCAGUGUCAGAAAGCAGAAUGGAGGCGGCCCCCGCAUCCGCACCAGGGAGACCCAGGUCCCUUUGUGAACCUCCGCACAGCGCCGUGUGAAUGCAACCCUCAUCUUCCAGGUGAGAAAAUCAAUGCUUAAAGAAGCUAAACAACAAAUGAUCUGCCCACCUCGGCCUCGGAAUUGUGAUGGGGAGAGUGUUCCUGCUGCACGGGCGCCCCCAGAUGCACAACGUUCAGCAGAUUGAAGCCUGGGGGUGCUCACGCAUUGGCCAGGGUGGUCUCGAACUGCUGACCUCAGGUGAUCCCCCUGCCUCGGUCUCCCAAAGUGCUUUAGUAGAGACAGGGUUUCACCAUGUUGCCCAGGCUGGUCUCCAACUCCUGACUGCAUGUGAAGAGAGCUCAUUCAUUCAUUCCAGCCCUACACUUUGCAUUGCCUGCUCUACUGGCUCAGAACCCAAAUCCCUCAAAGUGAGGAGUCCCACUCACUGGGAAGCAGUUUUUGGUUCAGACUUCCCAUGGACCCUGGGAAACUUCCUCAGUUGUCCUGAAAGCU
RNAcentral lists this long non-coding RNA (555 nucleotides) under Homo sapiens (human). RNAcentral describes it as "non-protein coding lnc-DGCR2-5:4". Lineage: Eukaryota; Metazoa; Chordata; Mammalia; Primates; Hominidae. The record is from RNAcentral.